RNAcentral lists this ribosomal RNA (454 nucleotides) under uncultured bacterium. RNAcentral describes it as "bacterial SSU rRNA". It matches the Rfam family "Bacterial small subunit ribosomal RNA", at positions 340 to 788 of the family's 1533-position model. The record is from RNAcentral.
UACGGGAGGCAGCAGUGGGGAAUAUUGCACAAUGGGCGAAAGCCUGAUGCAGCUAUGCCGCGUGUAUGAAGAAGGCCUUAGGGUUGUAAAGUACUUUCAUCGGGGAGGAAAAACAAAACUAAUAAUUUUAUUUCUUGACGUUACCCGAAAAAGAAGCACCGGCUAACUCCGUGCCAGCAGCCGCGGUAAUACGGAGGGUGCGAGCGUUAAUCGGAAUUACUGGGCGUAAAGGGCACGCAGGCGGUUAAUUAAGUUGGAUGUGAAAUCCCCGGGCUUAACCUGGGAAUGGCAUUCAAGACUGGUUAGCUAGAGUCUUGUAGAGGGGGGUAGAAUUCCAUGUGUAGCGGUGAAAUGCGUAGAGAUGUGGAGGAAUACCGGUGGCGAAGGCGGCCCCUGGACAAAGACUGACGCUCAUGUGCGAAAGCGUGGGGAGCAAACAGGGAUUAGAUACCGU